Molecule: ribosomal RNA, 272 nt
Filed under: Escherichia coli
Lineage: Bacteria; Pseudomonadati; Pseudomonadota; Gammaproteobacteria; Enterobacterales; Enterobacteriaceae
Also listed under: 1 other name
Description: partial 16S ribosomal RNA
Rfam family: Bacterial small subunit ribosomal RNA
Source: RNAcentral
AAAUUGAAGAGUUUGAUCAUGGCUCAGAUUGAACGCUGGCGGCAGGCCUAACACAUGCAAGUCGAACGGUAACAGGAAGCAGCUUGCUGCUUCGCUGACGAGUGGCGGACGGGUGAGUAAUGUCUGGGAAACUGCCUGAUGGAGGGGGAUAACUACUGGAAACGGUAGCUAAUACCGCAUAAUGUCGCAAGACCAAAGAGGGGGACCCUCGGGCCUCUUGCCAUCGGAUGUGCCCAGAUGGGAUUAGCUUGUUGGUGGGGUAACGGCUCACC